CGACAGAUUUGUUAAGUAACACGUUAAUAUCAUCCACAGUCUACUUUAAGUACUUUUUGUUAAUAUUUAUACCUCUGCGAUUAUGGUAUUUUUCCUGAAAUGUCUGCUAUCAAGUAUUACGCUAGCAUAGAAACAUAAUUAACGUUAUAGCAUAUUAGAUUUGAGCCCUUAUUAAUGAAAGUUUGGCCUUUUAAUUACAUCUUAUGCCUAAAGGAUCGGUUUUGAUCGUUUUGUAAAUGUUUUUGAUGGUAAUUUGUCAAUAGAUAAAUGAAAUAAAGUUAAGCUAAUUAAUUUAACCUAAAAAUCUGCAUUGUAGAGUCUAUCAGUGACGUCACUCGUGGUCUAAAAUGGGCUGAAACUAUUUUAAACCACUGUUUCAAGCUUGUUCUGAUUUAUCAUUGUAAACAAAUAUUGAUAAAAAAAAUUGUACAGUGAUUUCAGGAGUGUCUUAAAAACCCUCUAAAACAGAGGAGAAGUUCCAAGAAAAUGUCUAACGGGACCUGCUGACAGAGAUAGAAAACACAGUUUGUUUAUUUCUAAUAAGGAGCUGGAGGCCGUGAAGAUACAGAUCCAUGAUAUUGUGGAGAAGCAGGCCCAGCUGAGCGAGUGGAGAGCUGUGCUGGAAAUAUUCAGGGGUUGAUGCUCAUAAGUCCAGGGUAAGUAUACAGCUAACCCUACUACCACCUCUACUCUGUGUGGUUCUCUGCAAAGGCCCGGUGUACCCAGGAUGCGAUCUUCCCAGAUGUCCUUCACCCUAUUUCAUAGUGUAAGACAUGAUCCAGGCCCUGGGCGACGACCUCUCUCCAUCCGCCGCCUCCGGUCUUCAGGAUCUCCACCAGAACCCGAUUCGCUCCACUUCGCGAGACAGAACAAAACGCUGUGAUCAUCAGAGACUCCAUCGUCCGGCACGUUUGCGCUAUGUUAGCUGAAGGUAAAGUCCACACUGACUACUUCCCUGGUGCUCAUGUUCUUGAUAUUUCUGCACAGAUUCCCGUGACCCUGAAGAGUGAGGUGGGCAUCAGAGCGGACGGAGACACUGAAGAGGGACUUCAGGAGCCUGAUCAAGACAGUGCGCAGCAUAUCGCCUGCAUGAUGAUCAUCGUGUCAGGACCACUUCCCACGUAUAGAUGAGGACAUGAAAGGCUUUUUAGAUCUCCUGUUGGACAACAUCUCCAGGACACUUCGCUCCAUAUGACUAGGCAGUUUGUGAAAAGAGAUAAUCAAGAGAAGUCAGUUCCAGAUCCACCCUCCACACCAGACCUCUCUCUCACGAGGAUUGCUGUCUACUAGCAUAUUGUGUUCUUCAGCUCUUCAGACUUCGGUGGAUGCAGAUAUUACUCAGGGACAUGAACACUAGAAUAUUGCAAGAAUAGAGAAAAGGGACUUUGCGGGGGAUUCUUGAAAAUAGAUUAGCUUCACACAGACGUCUUCUAACUGUCACAGUACUUACAGGUAACUCCAGACUGUCUUUGAUCAUCCUGGAGGUGAUCAUUGGCUGAGCCUUUGCCAUUCUGGUUAUUCUUCUAUCCAUUUUGAUGGUUGUCUUCCGUUUUCUUCCACGUCUCUGGUUUUGCUCUCCAUUUUAAGGCAUUGGAGAUCAUUUUAGCUGAACAGCCUAUCAUUUUUUGCACCUCUUUAUAGGUUUUCCCCUCUCUAAUCAAC
Molecule: long non-coding RNA, 1662 nt
Organism: Carassius gibelio (silver crucian carp)
Lineage: Eukaryota; Metazoa; Chordata; Actinopteri; Cypriniformes; Cyprinidae
Exons: 5
Source: RefSeq, a predicted model, not a curated record